This 71-nucleotide transfer RNA is filed under the name Caudoviricetes sp. RNAcentral describes it as "tRNA-Met". It matches the Rfam family "tRNA". From Rfam's summary of the family: Transfer RNA (tRNA) molecules are approximately 80 nucleotides in length. Their secondary structure includes four short double-helical elements and three loops (D, anti-codon, and T loops). Further hydrogen bonds mediate the characteristic L-shaped molecular structure. tRNAs have two regions of fundamental functional importance: the anti-codon, which is responsible for specific mRNA codon recognition, and the 3' end, to which the tRNAs corresponding amino acid is attached (by aminoacyl-tRNA synthetases). tRNAs cope with the degeneracy of the genetic code in two manners: having more than one tRNA (with a specific anti-codon) for a particular amino acid; and 'wobble' base-pairing, i.e. permitting non-standard base-pairing at the 3rd anti-codon position. The record is from RNAcentral. Lineage: Duplodnaviria; Heunggongvirae; Uroviricota; Caudoviricetes.
CGCGGAGUAGAGGAGCGGUUCCUUGCUAGAUUCAUGCUCUAGAGACGUUGGUUCAAAUCCAGCCUCCGCUA